AAUACCUCUGUGCGUUGUGCCACCAAUGCAACUAUUAAUACCGUGCCUCAUCAGAUUCAAGAUAGAUGAUGAGAACGAGCAAAGACAAAACAAGGCAUCCACCAGUUCAAGCUGUUCUGGAAGAUCAACCUACUGUGGCAAGAUUAUAAGUUUCUACAAGGCACCCGUAGUGAAGUUCGU
Molecule: long non-coding RNA, 180 nt
Organism: Mizuhopecten yessoensis (Yesso scallop)
Lineage: Eukaryota; Metazoa; Mollusca; Bivalvia; Pectinida; Pectinidae
Exons: 3
Source: RefSeq, a predicted model, not a curated record